AGUGAACGCUGGCGGUAGGCCUAACACAUGCAAGUCGAACGGCAGCACAGGAGAGCUUGCUCUCUGGGUGGCGAGUGGCGGACGGGUGAGGAAUACAUCGGAAUCUACUCUGUCGUGGGGGAUAACGUAGGGAAACUUACGCUAAUACCGCAUACGACCUACGGGUGAAAGCAGGGGACCUUCGGGCCUUGCGCGAUUGCAUGGGCCGAUGUCGGAUUAGCUAGUUGGCGGGGUAAAGGCCCACCAAGGCGACGAUCCGUAGCUGGUCUGAGAGGAUGAUCAGCCACACUGGAACUGAGACACGGUCCAGACUCCUACGGGAGGCAGCAGUGGGGAAUAUUGGACAAUGGGCGCAAGCCUGAUCCAGCCAUACCGCGUGGGUGAAGAAGGCCUUCGGGUUGUAAAGCCCUUUUGUUGGGAAAGAAAUCCAGCUGGCUAAUACCCGGUUGGGAUGACGGUACCCAAAGAAUAAGCACCGGCUAACUUCGUGCCAGCAGCCGCUGUAA
This 506-nucleotide ribosomal RNA is filed under the name uncultured bacterium. Its description in RNAcentral is "partial 16S ribosomal RNA". It matches the Rfam family "Bacterial small subunit ribosomal RNA", at positions 29 to 523 of the family's 1533-position model. The record is from RNAcentral.